Molecule: ribosomal RNA, 116 nt
Filed under: Sinocyclocheilus anshuiensis
Lineage: Eukaryota; Metazoa; Chordata; Actinopteri; Cypriniformes; Cyprinidae
Source: RNAcentral
UACCACAGCCAUAUCACCCUGCAGCCAAGACUGGUUGCCCACUGAAGCUAAGCAGGGUUGAGCCUGGUCAGUACCUGGAUGGGAGACCUCUUGGGAAAACUAGGUUGCUGUUGGAA